Molecule: ribosomal RNA, 432 nt
Filed under: uncultured bacterium
Lineage: Bacteria
Description: bacterial SSU rRNA
Rfam family: Bacterial small subunit ribosomal RNA
Source: RNAcentral
UACGGAAGGCAGCAGUGGGGAAUAUUGCACAAUGGGCGCAAGCCUGAUGCAGCCAUGCCGCGUGUAUGAAGAAGGCCUUCGGGUUGUAAAGUACUUUCAGUCGUGAGGAAGGUGUUAAGGUUAAUAACCUUAGCAAUUGACGUUAGCGACAGAAGAAGCACCGGCUAACUCCGUGCCAGCAGCCGCGGUAAUACGGAGGGUGCGAGCGUUAAUCGGAAUUACUGGGCGUAAAGGGCACGCAGGCGGUUAAUUAAGUUGGAUGUGAAAUCCCCGGGCUUAACCUGGGAAUGGCAUUCAAGACUGGUUAGCUAGAGUCUUGUAGAGGGGGUAGAAUUCCAUGUGUAGCGGUGAAAUGCGUAGAGAUGUGGAGGAAUACGGUGGCGAAGGCGGCCCCUGGACAAAGACUGACGCUCAUGUGCGAAAGCGUGGGGA